AAACUUUCAACAAUGGAUCUCUUGGUUCUGGCAUCGAUGAAGAACGCAGCGAAAUGCGAUAAGUAGUGUGAAUUGCAGAAUUCAGUGAAUCAUCGAAUCUUUGAACGCACAUUGCGCCCUUUGGCAUUCCAUAGGGCAUGCCUGUUCGAGCGUUAUUU
RNAcentral lists this ribosomal RNA (158 nucleotides) under Roussoella nitidula. Its description in RNAcentral is "5.8S ribosomal RNA". It matches the Rfam family "5.8S ribosomal RNA". Rfam says of the family: 5.8S ribosomal RNA (5.8S rRNA) is a component of the large subunit of the eukaryotic ribosome. It is transcribed by RNA polymerase I as part of the 45S precursor that also contains 18S and 28S rRNA. Lineage: Eukaryota; Fungi; Ascomycota; Dothideomycetes; Pleosporales; Thyridariaceae. RNAcentral also lists the same sequence under 1 other name. The record is from RNAcentral.